GCCGCCCGCUUUCUUCUUGCCUAAUACAUGCAAGUCGAGCGAACAGACGAGGAGCUUGCUCCUCUGACGUUAGCGGCGGACGGGUGAGUAACACGUGGAUAACCUACCUAUAAGACUGGGAUAACUUCGGGAAACCGGAGCUAAUACCGGAUAAUAUAUUGAACCGCAUGGUUCAAUAGUGAAAGACGGUUUUGCUGUCACUUAUAGAUGGAUCCGCGCCGCAUUAGCUAGUUGGUAAGGUAACGGCUUACCAAGGCAACGAUGCGUAGCCGACCUGAGAGGGUGAUCGGCCACACUGGAACUGAGACACGGUCCAGACUCCUACGGGAGGCAGCAGUAGGGAAUCUUCCGCAAUGGGCGAAAGCCUGACGGAGCAACGCCGCGUGAGUGAUGAAGGUCUUCGGAUCGUAAAACUCUGUUAUUAGGGAAGAACAAAUGUGUAAGUAACUAUGCACGUCUUGACGGUACCUAAUCAGAAAGCCACGGCUAACUACGUG
This 497-nucleotide ribosomal RNA is filed under the name uncultured bacterium. RNAcentral describes it as "partial 16S ribosomal RNA". It matches the Rfam family "Bacterial small subunit ribosomal RNA", at positions 34 to 507 of the family's 1533-position model. The record is from RNAcentral.